GUGCCCGCUUUGACAGCACAUAUACUAAAAUUGGAUCUAUACAGAGAAGAUUAGCAUGGCUCCUGCUCAGGGAUGAUGCACAAAUUCAUGAAGUGUUACAUAUUUUU
Cricetulus griseus (Chinese hamster) is the source of this 107-nucleotide small nuclear RNA. The record is from Ensembl. NCBI's taxonomy places the organism in Eukaryota, Metazoa, Chordata, Mammalia, Rodentia, Cricetidae.